AAAAGACGGAAACGUAAAAAUGUGAAAAGAACAUCUUGUUCUCCUUACUGUCUUCCUCUCCUUUCCUCUUUGUCUUCGCAGAAGCCCAAACAUGAGCCUUCCAGCUGGGUGUGUUGCGUGUUAAGGAAAUUUAAUUGGCUCAAAAGUGGCUUAACGACCCUGCCGGCUAAUGGUGUCCGUUUACAGCCAAGUGAACCAAGCCCAGCGAAGGAGUGAAUGGGGCCACUGCUGUGACUGCGGCCGGAGCCGGUCAACUUGAAUUGGACUCACCUGGGAGGCAGGAUUUAUUCCAGCACGAUUCCCUCAGAUUUACUGGUGUGAUUGAACGGCUGACCCACGGUCACAGGCGUGGGUUAAACAGCCUCCCCGAAUCGUUGACGGGAACGAGGGCGAAUGGAUGUUUGGUCGCUGAUGGGGAAAAUUUGUUUGAACCCUCUGGAACAUUGUUUGAUGUCCAGUAUGGGCUCUGGAGUGCGACCUGAUUUCAUGCUGCUUCCUCUUGGUGUUGUGUAACAAGUUCAGUUUUGGCCGGUCGUCAAGGAAGUCAACCGUAGGCUUGAAUGGAUGGACACGACACUUUAGAGAUCUUUCUUAUUUUAUUAUAACCGCUGUAGCACUAUGUGUACAUAUGUACUACAUCUAUGUAGUUUAACAGUGUCGCUUGUCAGGUAACCUUGUCCCAUGUGUUAAAUCAACUUAUUUUUCUGAUGUGAUACAGAUGUGAUAGAGAUGAAAGCUCCAGGACCCACUGUCAAGUGGAACUUGAUUGGAGAUUGUUUGUGUCUGCUUCCAGGGACAAGGUGACAGAGAAAACGUCUUCCACCAAGCGACACAGUUUUAAAGCUUCUCGACAAGCAGACAGGGUGUGGUGUGCAGCAGGAGGCCAUGCACAGUAUUCAUCAUCGGGUGGUUUGACAGUAUGAGGGCUCCAAGUGACACAAUGAGAGCUCAUCCUCGAGGGACCCCCAGCUAAUCGGAUGGAAUUCACCGCAUGAAGAAAAAAACCUUCAACGUGGUAAGAAUGUGGGUAAUUGUGUUGAUCCAAUUAGCUGCUGGCCUGCCGUGUCAGAGCCAAUCAGGACACGGAGCGCCAUGGGGUCGUUAGAGGAAAAACCAAAGGCCAACUACUAAUUAGCCCGCUAGCUUUUAAUUCGAGCAGGCUCUGUGUGAUGUGGAUGAACGGGCAGCAGAAGAGGGCGCACAGCGAAGGCGACUGACACACUUCCUCUCACACGGACGUCCUGGAAGCGGAACAUGUACACACAGCGGGUGAACGCCGAGUGCUUCCCGCCGAGGACGCAUAACCCACCUUUGUGAUUGGAUGACGGAGGUGAACAGUGGCGAGCAGCCACAAAAUCAAACACAACAUCUACACGAAAUGCCCCACGUGGCUUAAAGAAGUGAGGAGAAAACUGAAAGGACUAAUAUUGAUUCUCCUGUUAUUCACACAUAUUAUACAAUUCAACCAGGGAUUUAAAUUAACUUCUUUUGAUCACCAGCCAAAAAAGUCAGUCUGGGCUCGUAGAUUUUUAAAGUUACCAGCCAGUCAGAUUUUCCACUAGCCAAAUUUUAAAUAAACCAACGUUUGAGUGCCACUGAAUACAUUUAAGCAUCCAUGUUUCGUUAAAUUGUUCUUAUUUGCGUUGAUGGCAGAUAUACAUUAAAAUGGUAAAAAUAUAUAUAUAUUGUAUUCGUUUCUCGGGCAAAUACCAGUCACUCACGACCCAAUAGCCAUUUAGAAUUAAAAGUGCUCAUUUUCUUAUUUUCGUUAACUCUUCUACUAAUUUUUCAGCUUCUUUGUUUUGUUUUGCGCCGCUCCGUUCGUCUUCUCCGUUUCACCGUAGCUCGCUCGUAAUCGAUACCACGCACAAACACACACACAAAAAAACGCCCAAAUUUCUUGGCGGAAAACAGACCCAUCUUGCAACACUGACGUUGCAUCGUUUCUGCAGCCUGCCGAUACAAACAGACAGUGUUUUUUGCUUCAUUCAUCGCCAGCCAAAUUGGCUAGUAACUCAACAAUGUUACCCGCCAAAGGAGAUUUUUACCCGGGUUGGCUACAAGAACAGACAAACAGAAUUUCCCAUUGUCAGUUGAUGAAAAAAAAAAAAAGAUGUUUGAUAUUUCUAGUUAGAAGAAAAGUCCGCAGGUAAAUGGAACGCCAGCUUUGGCUAGAGCUAGAUGUUUAUUAGCUCAUACUUCAUCCUUUAUGGGAUAAAUCCCGAGCUCAGGAAUCAGUAGCAAAAACGAAAAAGGUUCUUUAGUGAAUGAAGGCCUUCCUCACUCUUGACAGCCGUCGUAUAAAUAAAAUUGCCUCAGCCUAAACCUUAAAGAAUCUCUGGGUUUCGUCAAACAGUGUAUUGUUUUCCAGCUGCGAACCCCUCUGAAUGAUGAGGUCCUGACAGACUCUGGCAUACGAAUCAGAUAUGAAUCAGAUGACCAAUGAAACAGUGAAGCCAACUUGGAUGUUGAGUGUUUCCCUAGAUGUUUUGAUGGCUUUAGGCACAAUAUCACUGAUUGAUUGGCGUUGAAAAAAACUAAACAAAACAGAUGUGUAUGUCUGCGUAUUUGUGUUCGUGGGCAAGCAUGUGUUUGUUAUCGUGUUCAUAUUGUAAUGGGUUUGGAUGUCGCAAUACUUCGGGCUUAUACCACACUGCGAUUUGUUCAAGCAAAUGUAUUAUUCUUUCUGUGACACACAUAGACAGAAGCACGAGUGACGGGUUUCCCAUUUGUUGGCGGUCACCAGCAGGGAACCUAUUUCACAAGAAAAUACAUUGUGGAGCAUAGACCAGUGUGUAUGGUUGGGUCUUUAACUAAAGGGUCAGUUCACCCAAAUCAGAAAAACCUCUUGAGGUAUCUCAUUAGGAGCGGGGCAAGUGGAAGCAUUAACAAAUGACAUGUACAGUAAAAAAACAAAAACAAUAUCCCAGUUACCCAUCCACAGAUCCUGUAGUCAACCGUUUUUACUUGCAGUCUUUUCAACUGAAGGGAAGUCUUCACAUCCCCAUGGCCUCUUAGAGUAAUGGGAAAAAUAUGUUUAUUUGUAUAAUUUGGGAGAACUGACCCUUUCAUCUUUUCUGGUCGGCUCUGUCCCGACACUUUACACGUCACUUGUCUGCUUCACUUGGCUGAAACCUCCCCCUCAGUUCAUUGAGGCCACUUUGCCGAGCUACAGCGAGAUCAUUAGUGACACUGCCAGACCUUUUUGGUGAAAAAACACAUAUUUGUUACUUUGAGCACUUUAAGAAAACGAUAUAUAUCACAUUGGUUCGGCUGUAUGCAAUUGGCACCGGUUUAAAUCGUGGUUACGAAAUGCACAGCACGGGGUCGUGAGAGUAAUGAAAUCCGUAUGCAAAAAAAGCAGCUCAGUAAUCUCUCCCGAAUUUCAAUUUUCAACUUUUGCUGUCACCAUCCAUUCUCCAACGCCUGUACACGGUGAUUUGAGUUGAGAAAACCACCACUGGUCAUAAAUUUGUAGUUGAUGAAUAAGUCCCACCGCUUAAAAAUGAGAAAAGACGCACCUCCAGUAAAACUAUUUGAAUGGGUGCUGGAUGAACAAAAUCUGUUUCGAGCACAAAAACGUUUUGAGCCCAAGUCCCACAGCUUGUCAUUAUUUGAGUUAUCAUCCCAAAAGCAUCACACGCAGCACAAACUACAGCUGGACGCCACCAAGACAUUUAAGCACUCAAAAAUAAUGAAUGAAAUUACAAUUAUGGCGAUUUCUUUUCUAUCAUUCAAUCACUGUGUCCCUUUGAUGUGUAAGGAUGCAUGACUGACUUAUUUGGCUAGUGUCGCUGAAGAAACAGCCAGGACAAUUAGGUGCUCUCUGACUUUGACACAGAUAUGCAGCACAUGGAGGAAGUGAAAAAAAUCAAGUCAAAUCCUCAAAAAUUCUCUUUGAUUCUCAAGCAAUACUUUGAUUCUCAAGCAAAGUGAAUCACUCUGAUAUUAUAAAUCGGCACUAGUAUGAAAGUCUUUCUUUUUCCAGUUCAUAUCUACAAUUCUGACUUUGUUCAAGUGUUCAUUGUUCCCUGCUCCCGAUGUGUCAGUGACUCGUCUUUGUCCUGGUCACACCUUUAAAUCCCAAGGGACAAGUGAACAACAUGACACAACUAAAGGUCAAAGGUCACAUACGUCAAUACAUACACAUAAAAUUAGAUUUUCACCCAUUACUUAAUGUACGUGUGCCUCGUGUGCAGAUUGGUAACGUGUUCACUGUGGACCUGUUUUCUGCAAAGCCCGAGUCAACAAAGAAGAGAAAAAGUCGUGAAGCUCAAUUCACAAUUGUCCUCCUUCCUCCCACUCAACUCUGUUCCAAAAGAACUCAGCUCACAUUCAACUCUUCAGUUUGAUCCUGUUAUUUUUUUAUUAUUUUUUUUAAUCGGCAUGUAUCAGGGCACGUGGUUGGUGCAAAAAUGCACUCACUUUUGCUGACUUUGACAGAUGCCCCGUUGCGUCCAACAUUUUUCCAUGAUGGGUGAUGAGGGAUGUUGUGGGAAUACGUUGAUGAGCGCAGGCACCAUCAGGCAGUGGAGUGGCGAGACAGUGAUGCACAACUUCAGACGGAGGCCUUUGUGUUGGAGGCUUGUGGACAUGUCGCUGUUGCCACCGACUGCACUUAGAGCACAUUAAUAAUUUCGGAGGAAUGAGAAAUCUAUUUUAGCAGAAAAAAAUAGCAUUUUUAAGAUUCCAUGCAUAAUGACUGUUUGAAAAAUACAAUGCGGUCACGUUUAGAAUGCAGUCGCUUUCCAGCUUGGUUCAACUGAACUGAAUUAAUAACGCAUGUGUUUUAUGUUCUUAUCUCGAUAGACGUGAGAUCCAAUGAGCUCUGCUAUAUGGACCAGCCACUCGUGAUUCUAUAGUUGAUGAUGUAUCUAGAUUUGGUCAGAUAAGUCCUGGAUGCCAGUAAUUUGUCAGGAAGCAGAAUGGCUGGAAAAAAGUUUUGUGAAAUGGCAGUAACGGGAACGGGAGCGUGAGGCUUCGGAGAGGUUGCACACCGCCCGCGUUCAGGACGUGAUCCGGUCUGACCAAUGAAUGAGUAACAUCCUGCAGAGAUAAGGGGACUGUGUGGGUGGUCACAGACAGGGUCAGGAAGGACUUUGUGUGAGUGUGUGUGUGAGAGAGAGAGAGAGAGAGAGUGUGUGUGUGUGUGUGUGUGUGUGUGUGUGUGUGUGUGUGUGUGUGUGUGUGUGUGUUAUUAACUCUUGUCACCACCCAUUUUUUUGAAAUGAGUAUCAUUUCAAAAAAUGAUAUCAUCAGAGAUUUCAAGUUUCAUCCAGUCAUAUCUUGUGGAGUAAAGCAGCCGCCCUCAGGAUGAGCCCUGAGCCCCAUAACACACUAGAGCACUUUAUUAUUACACAAUCCACAUUCAUCUUUUUUUUUUCUCUCAAUUUAAAGUUGGUGUGCCUACACAAAAAACCCUUUCUUUUAUUGCUUUUGUUGUGUGUUAUAGUUGUAAUAUGUGUGCUUACUGUCAUAGUAUUGCUUCUAUCUUUGCGCUUCUUCUGCAAGCCGAAUUUCCCCAUAGCGGCACACUGAAUUGAACUGAGUGAAAUCUGUCCAGAGACUUUUAUUUUACUGUAAGUGAAUUGUCCGAAAUCCUCCUUGUAUUGCAUGUUGUCAGAUUGUACCUACAGUAAUCAGUGAAAUAAACCUCACAAUCAUGAUCAGUGUGGCCGAUACACGCCAAGGGCACAAAAUGUAUCUAUACGUCAAGUGGACCAACAGGACUAUGAUUGGAACAACUACAAGUCUCCGGUGUCUGCGGCCGUUUGUGGUAUUAUCACCCCAAAAAAUUAAAGUUAACAUGUGACUUGUCUGGAGCAUUUAUAAGAAAUCUUUGAUCAAACAUAUCUCAAAAAGAUUAGUAAACUGACCCUUCUGAAGCCAGAGCUCAUGGGGGGUCUUGUGCUGCCUAAUCUCCAGUAUUACUUCUGGUCAACCAAAUGAUGAAACUUUGUGUCAUGGUCAGUGGGGAGACAGGACCCACUGUGGCUCCAGAUGGGAGCCAAACUUUUUUGAUCACUUGUUCUUGGACUCUCUUGUAUUUAUAAAACACUUCAAUGUAAUAAAAAAACAGAUUGGAUCAGUGUUUCACUGUUUUUAACACACGUUAGGCUCAGAGGGAUUUUAUUACAAAAAUUGGUACAAGUAUAACUCGUAUUUCCAGUCAUCAGAAACCUGACACAACCUCCCCAACCAAGUUAGUUAAUGCAUAUUAAUGUCAUAAUGCAAAAGUAGCACACAGCAGUGAGUAUAUGUGAUCGAGCUUCGAAACCAUGGUUUUUUUUUACCAGCUGCAAUCCCUUGACUGGUGGGCACCAAGGUGUUUUGAUCCAGAAGGCCAAGUCUAAUUUCUGCCAAAAAUCUGUGUCAAUUGUGCCAAACAAGGACGUAAUAAUUAUAUGACUGAUUUGAUUUGGAUUUGAUUUGAUUUGUUUAUAUGAUGACAAUUAUUUGAUAUAAUUUUCAUCAUCAACUGGACAUCCUGUGUUGCAGAGGACAAUUGAAUUAGCAUUUUAUUUUGCACUGGGAAGUGAUUGAAUUAAAUGUCUGCUUGUCCAGCUGGGGCGCGGACACGGGGGGAGAGCACAGGAGGGACUCCGAGUUAUGAUCUGCCAUGAGGAUAGAGCAAUGUGUUGCACCGUAGGUAUUUACAGAAAGCUAGGACCCAAUUCAAAGCAGCAGGAACCUAGAAAGAACAGACCAAGGAUCAUAUAUUUCACAUACAAAAAUCAAGAAUUUAAAUUCCAUUGCAAAGUUUUAAAAUAACCCACUGUUUCUUUCUAUUUUUCUCUUUUUUAAAUGUUAAGUUCACUCGGCUCACAACCUCUCAAUACGUCACUAAUGGAACAAAACUCAUUUUUCAUUCCACAAUUACCACUAUAAGACGUGCGUUGCGGCUCAUGAAAUUGUCAUUCUAAUUCAAGAUUUAGGGCAAAAGCUAUACAUUUGUAAAUCUUCCGCAUCACACUGACAGUUUUAUUGCCUCCGCCAAAUGCGUCUCUAUUUUGGUGCUAUAUUGGUCUAGAUCAAGUCUGAGUGGUCACGCCUGCGGUGAAAGUUGGCUUGUUUAAUUAUCUAAUAAGAUCAAGAUGACUAAUAACCCUGAGAUUGCAGAUCUGGCACAUCCAGGAUUCUAACAUCUAAACAAAAUCUUUACAGCAAUAUGGAAACUGUGAGGUGUUACGGGAGAAUAAGAAGCAAAUAUGGACAUUUGCUUUUUAAAAGCUUCAGCCAUCUCAAAUUUCUUUGCACGAGAACAAAAUAAACAAAUAUGCCACCGUGUCAACCUAACACAAUAUUCAUACGAUAACAACAAAUGCAUUGUUUAGAGAUUUACAUGCAACUGUGGUUCUAUGAAUGUUUCGCAAAGAGAUAAUGUCAGCGGGCACCAUUUUAACACAGAGGUAAGUGGGUGCAUUUGCAACAUAUAAACAAUGUACUUGGCAAAUUAGAGGAAAACUCUUUUGUGGUCUGUGUGUCGGUGUUUGUGUACAUGCAUGUGUGUGUGUGUAGUGCAGCAUCGAGGACCAUUAAAUAGAACUGGAUUGGAGCCUAGUCCAUUGUAUGCAGAAAGCCAGGGCAGCAAUGAUUGGAGGAGUAAUGUGAGGGAUUACUACACAAAGUAUUGGUACAGUGAGGUAACAUCUGGCUCCUUUCAACCUUUAGAGUUACAGCACAUUUAUAUUUUAUAAUCACUGUAUUUUAUGCGGUAACAAUGCGACUAAGUAGUCUCCUUGUUCAUUUUACAGUUGUUUUGUUUAAAGGUCAAAUCUCUGAAUGCUGGCCACAGAUUUUAAUGUACCUUUGCUAACGGAAACAAACUUAAAUUUACCUCUGUCUCUGUAUUCCAAAAAUGUGACUCCCAACUCCCAACGAGUUGCAUAUUACACUCAACCAGUGCCGUGUGAUGAAGACGUUUAUGACCCAGCAGAGUUUUCCAGCCUACUCUGAUGGUCCCAACACUCCCUAGAGGCCAAAAGUGCCACUACACCGACCGCCUGCUACCCCCGAGCGACCCCUCGCAGCCUGGAUGACCUCGCUGCCAGGGAUGGUUGGCUGCGGCCUACAGAUGCUGAGCCACUGCCGCGCACCGCUGCCAACAAACCACCACCACCACCACUGGUCCCCCGCGCGCGGCCUAUUGUUCCACGCUGCGUCGCCUCGGAUGCCAGCAAAGCUGGGCAACUACAACGGGGGUGACCACAGCUCUGGCCGUACCUCUCAUCAGUCCAAGUAGCGGCAUGGCACAGCGACUGCCCAGCACCGAGAGCCAGAGCUCCCGGCCAGAGUGAAAUAAUAACGUGGUCCAGUCCUCCUCAAAGGCCAAUGCACGCUGGUUGGCAUCCAUGAAUCGCACCAAAACACCGUAUCUGAACUGCUCACAGAAACAUGACCAUCCCCACGAGCCAACACCAGUGCGACUUGUAUCGGGUUUGUCGUACAACUCUUGGCAGGAAACUGUACAAUGAAAGAAAUAGAAAAUGUCUAAAAUGUGAAGCUAUUCUUUAAACACAGAGGCAUCAUCAAUGCUGUCUCUUCGUUAUGAUCACAUGUAUGAGCUGUAGUGGCUCUGCUGUAAAUGAUUCUCACGGUUCCCUUCAGCCAAACAUUUCUUCAUUGCAUGGAAUCAAGACCAAGACAAAAAAAGAGUUUCUUUAAGUCAUUCAAUUGCAGCCACACUCUGUGAGCUGGUUAAUUGAGUUUCUAUCAACAGUUACAGCUCCGGAGAGUCUGUUUUUGGUCAUUGUUCAUACAAGCAAUGACCUUGUGUCAUCUGCUCACGGCUAAUAGGUUUGGCUGACGAAAAUACAUACAGAAAUACAAUGCACACGGUCAUAAAGAUUUCUUUAUUUUCUCUUGUGGUCUCUGUGUGUGAAACUACAUCAUUGGGCAGAGAAAACGCUGACCUGUCACUAUAUCUCCUGAUGAUGUGCUAUUAUUUAUCAUUCACUUAAUUCCCAAUCCCACAGCCCUAACUCAGCCAUUUACCGAUGCAAGUGUUACCGUAACCCCUCAACUGUUAAAUUGAACGUCUUGUCAUGCUCACAUCCACACAUGCUCUCAUACGAAGUUGCUCAAUUGGACACUGUCUCCUCCUGCUCCUCGGGAUGUGUAUUCACACCACACCGGGGUGCUCUGCCUCCGUUGCCUAAUGCUGAUGAAUUUGUGCAAUAAAACACAGCAAGGCCCGCAAAGGAAUGGCCCUCACUACCAACGGUAUAGGGACUCACACUGGUGUCAUACGGUUUUAAUAGGCUGCGGACACUGUAACCACACUGUGUAGACAACCCACUCAGAGAGCGGCGCAGGGUGGAGGGAAGUGAGGCAAAUGAGACAGAGAGAGAGAGAGAAACAUGUACGGUAUGUGUUUAUGAAAAAGAGAGUGAUAGCUACACGGAUAGAAUUCAAGAAUCUGUUACUCUGCCAAAUAAGGCAACGGUGAUUUCACAAUAUUACCUGCAAGAAGUCAUCUCUUUCCCGCCAACAUAUAAUUUAACAUUUAUUCAUCCGCAACACCUCUGGAGAGAGAGAAUUUUUCAGUAGUAGUACUACAAGUACUACCUUUUUUUAAUCAUCGCAAUACUUUUUUAAGGUUUAUUAUAUAGAUCGUUGUUUCUCAAGCUUGUUAAAAUGUUGAUUCUGAUGUGUCUAAGGCCAGAAUGGAGACUUACCUCGACAAAACAUGUUCACCUCAUUUGUGCCCGUUUCAAUUUCUGACAUAACCCACAGAUUGAGUUGACACAAAGCCGCAUUAUAACGCUCUAAAAAGCAGAUCACCAUCCACAUUUAUUAAUUAAUCAAUCAUUUGUAGGUUUGUCACUACCUUUGACCACUUACGCAAUACCCUUAGACCUCCCUUCCAUUAAUUAUAGAAAUAAUGACGACAUUAUUUCCAUAAUUGACUUUUGAUUUCCCCUAAUUCAGUGUUCCCAGAAAAACUCACACAUGAAGUUUUUAGCUGGUGAGAGAACGAGAGAGACGGGAGAAAGUGGGGCAUGGUCCUAAUGUAAAGGCUCUAUUAAUAGUGACAGCAAAGCCGAACUUGUCAAGUCUCUGCGGUACUGAUGGACACACCCUCCUCAGUGGCAGCUGGAACCCUCCUCGCUGUUAAGAUACAACCUCACCAGUGUAAAUGUUUAGAAGCGUUUUUUUCCUCCACUCUCUCUCUCUCUGCUCCUCCUUGGUUAUUCAAUCAAAGGAUUAAAUGUUGCAACAUCAGCCACGGUUGUGGAAAACAUCCCCGUCCUCACCAUGGAGAUGGUUGCUUGCUAAACGAGAAGAAAAAAGCUGGCGUCUCUAUAGAAUGUCACACAAGAGCACAGAAAGGUUGUUCGCAGAAUUCUGCUCAUGCGUGUGCUUAUGUGUCUCAAGUGGAAACCGCGUCGUCUCCUUCAAGGAUGAAAACAAAACAAAAGACUCAUAUGUAAACUUGUGAGCCGAACAGUAAUUGCAGUUUCCUCUUGGGUCAUUUGGUGCCAUUUGACUGCUGGAAUUCAUGGAUGAGACUCAUUAUUUCUGAGGUUUUGACAAAACUGGAACACUACCGCUUCACAGGUCCCAGGCGACACACGCAUGUGUCACCAAAUGCAGCAAACUCAGCACUGAAAUGCCAGAUGGGGCAAGAUAUUUCCCACAAGCUCUGGCAGAGUCACUGGCCAUCACUGGUAUCUGAGAAAUAUUUGAAUAUACGGAUGGAUAGAGACAAAGACCCUGGGUCCGAACCAGAGUCAAUGCUUCAAAUUCAUUGCGGGCAACAACUGAGUUCAGUAUUCCACUUUACAGCAACUGCAACUUGCCAAAAAAAAAGGCUUGAGAAUUCUCCAACUCAGGGCGUUUAUAACAGAGAUUUUCCUCCAGAGAAACUUCAGUGUUGGUCCUUUGUUUAAAGGCCCAAUGUGUAAUUUUUGUACUUUUCUGUCAGCAUCUGGUGGUAAAGUUGCAAACCGCAAACAACUGAGCAACCGACAGGGGACACUUUAUGGUG
This is a long non-coding RNA of Scophthalmus maximus (turbot), 10990 nucleotides long. RefSeq lists it as uncharacterized. The record is from RefSeq and is a predicted model, not a curated record. NCBI's taxonomy places the organism in Eukaryota, Metazoa, Chordata, Actinopteri, Pleuronectiformes, Scophthalmidae. The transcript has 3 exons.